ACUCCCGGCCCUAGGGGGUCGGAGUAGGUCCAGCAGGAGUGACCCCCCGGGGCUGUGGGAUCUGAAACUUUUUCUUCUCUACUGCUUGUUCUCCCUUCCUCCAUCCCUCACCCCGAAGCGGGAAGCAGCUUUCUCUUCCCAGCUUCCAUCCAGUCUCUGAGUAGACCAGUCGCAGCUUAGAUGCUGGGAUCGCCUCAGAACACAUUUCUUUGCCCUUCACGGCCACUACCGGUAUUGGGGUAUGCGAGUCUCAGGGCCGUUCGUUGCUCACAGGUCGAGCUGGUCUGGACUCUGUUCGACCACGAAUCAUGACUCCUUCCUGCCAGUUAUGUCCCCUCCGCACCCUUGCCCAGCCAUUUUACCAGGCCUCUCCACAUUGCGCUGCCCCACGGUAAGUCGCAGGACAAGCCCGGCCAAAGGAAUUGCCUCCAGCUCUGAGUCCCCUCCCUACUGUGGCAACCCACUCCAGUGCCAGCCCUCCCACACUGGAUGUCUAAUUUUUCUAGCUUGCCACCCUUUACUUUCCCCUCCGCUGCCCAUCCUUUCCCUCUGGGGCAAAGGUUAUCAUUUACGGGGCUUUCUCCAUCCUUUAUUGUUGAUACUUUUCUACCUUCAUUCCAGGAAAAGGUCUGAUGUACACGCAGACAACACAUUUGAUAGGCGAAAAUCGUCUUGAUAAUGCCUUAUUCUUAUAUAACAUCCUGUUGCAAAAAAUAAUAGAGACCACUAUUUGCUGAAAGCCUACCGUGGAUUAAGCAUUGUUCAGUGUGCUUUUCAUGUGUCAUUUAGUCUUGACAGUUCAAUACUCGGUAGGCAUUUCCCGUUUUCCAGAUGAGGACAUUGAAACUGAAAAAGAUUAAAUAACUAAACAAGUCACAGAGCUGGUGAGUGAUGGAGUUAGGAUUGAUAACCAGGUGGAGUUCACUCUAUUGCCAAUACUUUUUUUUUUUUCAAGACGGAGUAUCACUCUGUCACGCCCAGGCUGGAGUUCAGUAGUGCAAUCUCAGCUCACUGCAACCUCCGCUUCCGGGGUUCAAGCGAUUCUCCUGCCUCAGCCUCCUGAGUAGCUGGGAUUACAGGCACGCACCACCAUGCCUGGCUAAUUUUUUUUUUUUUUUUUUUGUGGAGAUGAGGUUUCACCAUUUUAGCCAGGCUGGUUUCGAACUCCCAACCUCAAGCGAUCUGCCC
This 1188-nucleotide long non-coding RNA is filed under the name Homo sapiens (human). RNAcentral describes it as "non-protein coding lnc-GAPVD1-1:4". Lineage: Eukaryota; Metazoa; Chordata; Mammalia; Primates; Hominidae. The record is from RNAcentral.